UACGAACUGUGCGAACGUUAUUCGGAAUCACUGGGCUUACAGGGUGCGUAGGCGGCUUGUUAAGUAGGGUGUGAAAGCCCCCGGCUCAACCGGGGAAUUGCGCCCUAAACUGGCGAGCUGGAGUGAGAUAGGGGUGUGUGGAACUUCCGGUGGAGCGGUGAAAUGCGUUGAUAUCGGAAGGAACGCCAGUGGCGAAGGCGGUCCGCUGGACCUGUACUGACGCUGAGGCGCGAAAGCCAGGGGAGCAAACGGG
Molecule: ribosomal RNA, 253 nt
Filed under: uncultured bacterium
Lineage: Bacteria
Description: partial 16S ribosomal RNA
Rfam family: Bacterial small subunit ribosomal RNA
Source: RNAcentral